Molecule: unclassified non-coding RNA, 294 nt
Filed under: uncultured fungus
Lineage: Eukaryota; Fungi
Description: partial contains small subunit ribosomal RNA, internal transcribed spacer 1, and 5.8S ribosomal RNA
Rfam family: Eukaryotic small subunit ribosomal RNA (bases 1-73)
Source: RNAcentral
GCAAACUUGGUCAUUUAGAGGAAGUAAAAGUCGUAACAAGGUCUCCGUUGGUGAACCAGCGGAGGGAUCAUUACCGAGUCUCGAACUCACCAAACCCCUGUGAACAUACCAGUGUUGCUUCGGCGGUCGACCCCUCCGCCCUCCCCUCACCGGGUGGGCGGCGUGGUUCCGCCAGAGGACCAUAUGAAAACUCCUGUUUUUUUCAGAAAGGAUUCCGCUCUGAGUAAACCAAAGAAAACCAUUAAAACUUUCAACAACGGAUCUCUUGGCUCUGGCAUCGAUGAAGAACGCAGC